GCUGGGUGUGGUAGUGCACACCUGUAAUCCCAGAAUUUGGGAGGCUGAGGCAGGAGGAUCACAAAUUCAAGGUUAGCCUGGGUGAUUUAGCAAGCAAGACCCUGUCUCAA
This 110-nucleotide small RNA is filed under the name Marmota monax (woodchuck). Lineage: Eukaryota; Metazoa; Chordata; Mammalia; Rodentia; Sciuridae. The record is from RNAcentral.